GGAUAGGGGUGAAAGGCUAAACAAACCCGGAAAUAGCUUGUUCUCCCCGAAAACUAUUUAGGUAGUGCGUCGUGUCUUACCUUCGGGGGUAGAGCACUGGAUCGGGAAGGGGGGCGCAAGCCUUACUAACUCGAACCAAACUCCGAAUACCGAAGAGUACAAUCACGGCAGACAGACAGUGGGUGAUAACGUCCAUUGUCAAGAGGGAAACAACCCAGACCUCCAGCUAAGGUCCCCAAAUCGUAAUUAAGUGUGAAAGGAAGUUGGACUUCCAUGACAACCAGGAAGUUGGCUUAGAAGCAGCCAUCUUUUAAAGAAAGCGUAAUAGCUCACUGGUCUAAAUAAGAGGUCCGGCGCCGAAGAUGUACCGGGGCUAAAAUUACGUACCGAAGCUGAGGAUGCAUAUUUAUAUGCAUGGUAGCGGAGCGUUGUGUAAGUCUGUGAAGGUUCACCGUGAGGUGGGCUGGAGAUAUCACAAGUGAGAAUGCGGACAUGAGUAACGAUAAAGAGUGUGAGAAACACUCUCGCCGAAAUCCCAAGGGUUCCUGUCCAAUGUUAAUCCGGGCAGGGUAAGCCGGCCCCUAAGGCGAGGCUGAAAAGCGUAGUCGAUGGGAACACGGUUAAUAUUCCGUGG
This 634-nucleotide ribosomal RNA is filed under the name Bacteroidota bacterium. RNAcentral's name for it is "Bacteroidetes bacterium (activated sludge metagenome) partial 23S ribosomal RNA". It matches the Rfam family "Bacterial large subunit ribosomal RNA", at positions 813 to 1443 of the family's 2925-position model. Lineage: Bacteria; Pseudomonadati; Bacteroidota. The record is from RNAcentral.